RNAcentral lists this ribosomal RNA (465 nucleotides) under uncultured Klebsiella sp. Its description in RNAcentral is "bacterial SSU rRNA". It matches the Rfam family "Bacterial small subunit ribosomal RNA", at positions 338 to 795 of the family's 1533-position model. Lineage: Bacteria; Pseudomonadati; Pseudomonadota; Gammaproteobacteria; Enterobacterales; Enterobacteriaceae. The record is from RNAcentral.
CCUACGGGCGGCUGCAGUGGGGAAUAUUGCACAAUGGGCGCAAGCCUGAUGCAGCCAUGCCGCGUGUGUGAAGAAGGCCUUCGGGUUGUAAAGCACUUUCAGCGGGGAGGAAGGCGGUGAGGUUAAUAACCUCAUCGAUUGACGUUACCCGCAGAAGAAGCACCGGCUAACUCCGUGCCAGCAGCCGCGGUAAUACGGAGGGUGCGAGCGUUAAUCGGAAUUGCUGGGCGUAAAGCGCACGCAGGCGGUCUGUCAAGUCGGAUGUGAAAUCCCCGGGCUCAACCUGGGAACUGCAUUCGAAACUGGCAGGCUAGAGUCUUGUAGAGGGGGGUAGAAUUCCAGGUGUAGCGGUGAAAUGCGUAGAGAUCUGGAGGAAUACCGGUGGCGAAGGCGGCCCCCUGGACAAAGACUGACGCUCAGGUGCGAAAGCGUGGGGAGCAAACAGGAUUAGAUACCCCAGUAGUC